AACCGACCUGGCUCACACCGGUUUAAACUCAGAUCAUGUAAAGUUUUAAAGGUCGAACAGACCCUCCUUAUUAGCUUCUUCACCAACAAUUAACUUUAAUCCAACAUCGAGGUCGCAAUCUAUUUCAUCGAUAAGAACUCUCAAAAUAAUUACGCUGUUAUCCCUAAGGUAAUUUAAUCUUAUAAUCUACUACUAGGACCACUUACUUACAAAUCAAUAUUUAAAUAAAAAAAAAGUUUAAUUAAUUUUUUUAUCACCCCAACAAAAUAUACAUAAUAAUCUUAAUAUAUUAAUUCCUAAAAUUUAUUGAUUUUAAGGUAUAUAAAACUCUAUAGGGUCUUCUCGUCUUUCAUAAAAAUUUAAGCUUUUUAACUUAAAAAUAAAAUUCUAUUUAAUUUUCUAAGAGACAGCAAUUUUUUCAUCAAACCUUUCAUUCAAGCUUUCAAUUAAAAAACUAAUGAUUAUGCUACCUUUGCACGGUCAAUAUACCGCGGCCAUUUAAUUCAUCAGUGGGCAGGUCAAACUUAAAAUUAUACUCAAUAAGCCAUGUUUUUAAUA
This 558-nucleotide ribosomal RNA is filed under the name Trigonopterus baliensis. RNAcentral's name for it is "partial 16S ribosomal RNA". Lineage: Eukaryota; Metazoa; Arthropoda; Insecta; Coleoptera; Curculionidae. The record is from RNAcentral.